UGGGGAAUAUUGGACAAUGGGGGCAACCCUGAUCCAGCAAUGCCGCGUGAGUGAAGAAGGCCUUCGGGUUGUAAAGCUCUUUUGUCUGUGAAGAUAAUGACGGUAACAGACGAAUAAGCACCGGCUAACUUCGUGCCAGCAGCCGCGGUAAUACGAAGGGUGCUAGCGUUGUUCGGAAUAACUGGGCGUAAAGGGCGUGUAGGCGGCUUCAUGCGUCAGAUGUGAAAGUCCUGGGCUUAACCUAGGGAUUGCAUUUGAUACGGUGAGGCUAGAGGUCAUGAGAGGGAAACGGAAUUGCGCAUGUAGAAGUGGAAUUCGUAGAGAUGCGCAGGAACACCGGUGGCGAAGGCGGUUUCCUGGCGUUGACCUGACGCUAAAGCGCGAAAGCGUGGGGAGCAAA
RNAcentral lists this ribosomal RNA (400 nucleotides) under uncultured bacterium. Its description in RNAcentral is "bacterial SSU rRNA". It matches the Rfam family "Bacterial small subunit ribosomal RNA", at positions 355 to 772 of the family's 1533-position model. The record is from RNAcentral.